This 292-nucleotide ribosomal RNA is filed under the name uncultured bacterium. RNAcentral's name for it is "partial 16S ribosomal RNA". It matches the Rfam family "Bacterial small subunit ribosomal RNA", at positions 505 to 796 of the family's 1533-position model. The record is from RNAcentral.
GUGUCAGCCGCCGCGGUAAUACGGAGGGGGCGAGCGUUAUUCGGAAUCAUUGGGCGUAAAGGGCGCGUAGGCGGCCCGAUAAGUCAAAGGUGAAAUCCCUCGGCUCAACUGAGGAACUGCCUUUGAAACUGUCGGGCUUGAGGCCGGGAGGGGGUGGCGGAAUUCCCAGUGUAGCGGUGAAAUGCGUAGAUAUUGGGAGGAACACCAGUGGCGAAGGCGGCCACCUGGACCGGUUCUGACGCUGAUGCGCGAAAGCGUGGGGAGCAAACAGGAUUAGAAACCCCCGUAGUCC